Molecule: ribosomal RNA, 440 nt
Filed under: uncultured bacterium
Lineage: Bacteria
Description: partial 16S ribosomal RNA
Rfam family: Bacterial small subunit ribosomal RNA
Source: RNAcentral
CUACGGGGUGCAGCAGUCGAGAAUCUUCGGCAAUGGACGCAAGUCUGACCGAGCGACGCCGCGUGCGGGAUGAAGGCCUUCGGGUUGUAAACCGCUGUCAGAGGGGAUGAAAUUUUGACAUAUCCUCAGAGGAAGGACGGGCUAAGUUCGUGCCAGCAGCCGCGGUAAGACGAACCGUCCAAACGUUAUUCGGAAUCACUGGGCUUAAAGGGUGCGUAGGCGGCUUAGUAAGUUGGGUGUGAAAUCCCUCGGCUCAACCGAGGAACUGCGCCCAAAACUACUAAGCUUGAGGGAGUCAGAGGUGAGCGGAACUCAGGGUGGAGCGGUGAAAUGCGUUGAUAUCCUGGGGAACACCGGUUGCGAAAGCUGCUCACUGGGGCUCUACUGACGCUGAGGCACGAAAGCUAGGGGAGCAAACGGGAUUAGAUACCCCUGUAGUC